GAGAAGCUUGCUUUCUUUGCUGGCGACCGGCGCACGGGUGAGUAACACGUAUCCACCUUUCCGAUGACUCGGGGAUAGCCUUUCGAAAGAAAGAUUACUACCCGAUGGUAUAUCUGAAAGGCAUCUUUCAGCUAUUAAAGAAUUUCGGUCAUUGAUGGGGAUGCGUUCCAUUAGGUUGUUGGCGGGGUAACGGCCCACCAAGCCAUCGAUGGAUAGGGGUUCUGAGAGGAAGGUCCCCCACAUUGGAACUGAGACACGGUCCAAACUCCUACGGGAGGCAGCAGUGAGGAAUAUUGGUCAAUGGACGAGAGUCUGAACCAGCCAAGUAGCGUGAAGGAUGACUGCCCUAUGGGUUGUAAACUUCUUUUAUACGGGAAUAAAGUUAGGCACGUGUGCCUUUUUGUAUGUACCGUAUGAAUAAGGAUCGGCUAACUCCGUGCCAGCAGCCGCGGUAAUACGGAGGAUCCGAGCGUUAUCCGGAUUUAUUGGGUUUAAAGGGAGCGUAGGCGGAUGCUUAAGUCAGUUGUGAAAGUUUGCGACUCAACCGUAAAAUUGCAGUUGAUACUGGGUGUCUUGAGUACAGUAGAGGCAGGCGGAAUUCGUGGUGUAGCGGUGAAAUGCUUAGAUAUCACGAAGAACUCCGAUUG
RNAcentral lists this ribosomal RNA (647 nucleotides) under uncultured Bacteroides sp. RNAcentral describes it as "bacterial SSU rRNA". It matches the Rfam family "Bacterial small subunit ribosomal RNA", at positions 73 to 715 of the family's 1533-position model. Lineage: Bacteria; Pseudomonadati; Bacteroidota; Bacteroidia; Bacteroidales; Bacteroidaceae. The record is from RNAcentral.